UUGUUUGAUUUUUUGUUAAAGUUCAGUUUGAACUCUUUUUGUUCUUGAAUUUUCUAUUUUUGUUCUAGCUUUUUGCUAUUUUCUUCUUCUUUUUCUCUUUUUAUGUUUACUGGAUCUCUCCGACUUGGAAUCUUUUAGGUCUGGAUCCUGGUUUCUCGUUUGGGUUUACUGUUAGAUGUGGGUUAUAGGAUUAGACCAAGAAUUUUUGUGUUCUUUUUUAGAUCCAAGCUACUUGACCUCUAUGUUAUUACCUGAACAAUUUCUUUUCUAGGAAAGUUGAAAACUUUCCCGGGAGGUACUUACAUUCUGUCAUAAACGGUGAGAUCUGGGUGUUUCACUUGAUUAUCUGUUGGAUGAUAAGAUUCAUUUGAUUUAUAAUCUAGUCAUGGGCUUUAAUAUCAAAAUUGGCUUUAAUAUCAAAAUUGGUUACUUUAAUCUCCUGCUAGUAAAUCUAUUCAUAUCUUUCAAUAGAAAAUAAUUCAAGAUUAAUUUUUUUUAUGAAUUGGGAAUAUAAAAUUUUCUGUUAUGGAAUUGAUGUUUCAUCAAAGUUUUUUAGUGGAAUUAACUUGUCUCAAUCAAAAUUUGCUGAAAUGAUUGAUAUUUGAGAUUUUGUGCAUAAAUAUUCUGUAGUAAAUAAGAAAAUCUGAAAUGGAAUUUCUAUUGAAUUAUUAUACACAGGAAAGCAUUUAGUUUUUUGCUGGGUUUUAGUAUGUAUUAACUUUUGCUGUUCUUAGCAGGCUUAAAAAUACCGACAGAGUAAGAUAGAUAGGGUUUAAAGCCAUUAGAGAUCCCUACAAAUUCAAGAUGAUGAUGUUCGAUGAGAUGGGAUUUCUUGGUGAUAUGGAUUUCUUCUCUGCGCCUUUUGGAGAAGAUGUGGCUGGUCCGGAAACUGAGCCGGAGCCUACUGUGGAGGAUGAUUAUAGUGAUGAGGAGAUUUAUAUUGAUGAGCUUGAGCGCAGGAUGUGGAGGGACAAGAUGCGUCUUAAAUGGCUGAAAGAGCAGAUCAAGAGUAAAGAAGGUAUUGAUAUUGCUAAGCAGAGGCAGUCACAGGAACAAGCUAGGAGGAAGAAGAUGUCAAGGGCUCAAGAUGGGAUCUUAAAAUAUAUGUUGAAGAUGAUGGAAGUUUGUAAAGCUCAAGGCUUUGUUUAUGGGAUUAUUCCUGAGAAAGGAAAGCCAGUGACUGGGGCAUCAGAUAAUCUUCGAGAGUGGUGGAAGGAUAAAGUAAGGUUUGAUCGAAAUGGUCCGGCUGCCAUUGCCAAGUAUCAAGCGGAUAAUUCGAUCCCAGGCAAGAAUGAGGAUUGUAAUUCAAUUGGUCCAACUCCACAUACCUUGCAGGAGCUUCAAGAUACUACUUUGGGUUCGCUUUUGUCAGCUUUGAUGCAGCACUGUGAUCCUCCUCAGAGGCGGUUUCCAUUGGAGAAAGGUGUUCCUCCACCAUGGUGGCCCAAUGGAAAUGAAGAGUGGUGGCCUCAAUUAGGCUUACCUAAGGACCAGGGUCCUCCACCUUAUAAGAAGCCUCAUGACUUGAAAAAGGCAUGGAAGGUUGGGGUUCUUACUGCAGUGAUCAAACAUAUGUCUCCAGACAUUGCCAAAAUUCGCAAGCUUGUGAGACAGUCAAAGUGUUUACAGGACAAAAUGACAGCUAAGGAGAGUGCAACUUGGCUUGCAAUUAUUAACCAAGAGGAGGCAUUGGCCCGAGAGCUUUACCCUGAUUCAUGCCCACCCUUGUCAUCGACUGGAGGGAGUGGUUCAUUAGUGAUUCAUGAUUGCAGUGAAUAUGAUGUUGAAGGGGUUGAAAAUGAGGGAGGUAAAAAUACGUGGAGGGACAAGAUGCGUCUUAAAAGGCUGAAAGAGCAGAACAAGAGAAAAGAAGGUAUUGAGAUUGCUAAGCAGAGGCAGUCACAGGAAGAAGCUAGGAGGAAGAAGAUGUCAAGGGCUCAAGAUGGGAUCUUCUUUUUACUUAGUAAAUUAUAGAGGAGAAUUUUAUUAGCAAUUGAAAGAAGAGUAACCAGAAAAUGGAAAUUGCAUCUUUUUUUUCGUGGCAUUUUAUCAUUGCAUUGUUGAAUAUUUUCUCCAGUCACAGAGUUCCCUUUCCAUGGAGUUUAAAAGAUUGGCUUACUGUAGAUACUAUAGAUCUUUAUUUAUGUCUAGGUAAAAUACAUCUGUGACUCUAAAUUAUGUCAUAAUUAACACUUUUGUCCCUCUACUGAUUAGAGAAAUGAAAAUGUUAAUCAGGGCAUAAUUAAGGACCCACAUGUAUUCUACCCUAGUUCAAUGAUUAAAAGGUUAUUGUAGUCUUUUUAUUUUCAAUUGCUGGUGAAAGUUCACUUUUUUGGAAGGAAUAACUUAUCAAUUAGAAAGACUAUUAGGGUGAAAUUUAAAAUAUAUGCAAGGAAAUAUGCUUAACCAAAAAAAAAAAAAAAUUAUAUAUAUAUAUAUAUAUAUAUAUAUAUAUAUAUAUAUAUGAAAAGAGAUGAAGGUCAAAUUUGUCUUGCCAUAUUUUAUUUUAUAUACCAAAUGCUGAAAAAUAAUUUUCUUUAAAAAAGUACUUUUUGAGAAGUAUACUUCGGGAUAAAUAAUAAUUUUUCUUUAUUUUAUUUUUAGAUAAUGUUAAAGAUGAAAAACGAACUUUGAGGAGUGUCUUGAUGUGGUCAUUUGGGGAAACGCACUGGAGAGUUGAUGACGGGCUAAAGUGGGCCUGAAACCGGACCAGGUUCAGUUGGCUGUUUCCAACUAUGAAAUAGACAAUAAUAGCCUCAAGACAAGGCUUACUGUUUACGUGCUUUGGUAACAUGCACAUGUUUGGUUUUCUACAGAACAAAUCCCUUUUUCAGAAAAAUUAAUUAUUUUAUUCAUUAAUUAUUUUACUGGCUGUUAAUUAUUUCAGUUGGUUGUUUUGUCAAACCUUAUAAGCAAUAACAUCUAAAAAUUAUUAUCUCAGUUUUAUGAUAUUUGUUAUAUUGGAGAAAUAAUUUAUUCUAAAAUAUUUGUUAUAUUUGUGAUUUUAAGAGUAAUAAAUUUUUUUUUUUUUCAUGUCUACCAUUUGUAUAGGUCUAACUAUCAUAACUUCAAUUUAAUAAUUUUUUUUAAAAAAAAUUAGUAUUUAACGUCUGAUUUAUCAAUAAACAGAUUUUGUUGGUAGUUACCUACAAAUUAGAAAUUUUUAUUGAUAAAAUUUAUUUUUAAAAUUAAAAAAGAUCAUAUAAUUUUAACGAUCGAUUAUCGACAGAAUAGAUUACCAACAGAGUUUACCAAUAAAUUUAAAUUUUAUUGGCAAAAAGUGUGUUAUAAAUUUGCGCGUAGGUUGAUAAUUUAUUAACAAAUUACAAAUAGAUUUUUAUAAAAAUUUUAAAUUUCAAGAGUCAUAAAUGGGCGGGUAAAUGAUGAAAUUUGGCAACACUAAAAUAUAUAAAUUUAUUUAUGAACUUUUUCGAAAAAAAAAAAAAGUGUGGAUAUAAAUUUCAGGUGUCAUAAAUUGCUCCAAAUAAGGCAAGUCACUAAUUCUAACAGACUUGAUGACAUCUGCCUAACAAAGUAGGAUAUUUAUCGUUUGAUUAUUUAAGCAACUAACGGAAGUCAGUUGUUUUAGCAGACUUGCCUUAGUUGGAACUACUAAAGGUUACGGAGAAGGUCAUAGUUUCAACUGAGACAAGUAAAAACACGUUAUUAAAGAAAACGGCGUCAUUUCUUUCUAGUAAUUCCAACUCAUGUCCCUCUUCACUUCCUACGUUUAGCUCAUAAAUGUCAUUACUUGAUUUCCAAUUUGAAUUUAAGCUCAACUCAUUUACGAUUAGCGAGCCAAGUUCCAUUUUUAAAUGAAUCAAACUCGAAAUCAAGUAUAUCAUAAUCGAAUGGAGCUUAAAUUCAUCAAAACUCGACUUUUCGAUCAGUUCAGCUUGAUUUGACUUAUUUACAACCCUAUCUAAUCUCAUUCUGUUUCGAGGACUAUGAUAUAUAUCAUGCUCCUCUUCCUUUAUCAACGUGCUAGUCCAAACCAAGUUUGCUUCGUACUACUAAGAACUUAUGGAGAAUAACAAUUACUCAUAAAUAAAUAUUGCACUUAAAUAAACAAAUGCUAAAGCAUUUCUCAUUCUUUAUAAAUAGGUAAGACUUAAAGAACGAUUGUAUUAACAAUUUUACAUUUUUUUUUUUGUAUAAAUGACAAAACAAAAUUUUGAUAGAAAAAUUUAAAAGAUAUUAUUUUUCUUAGGAAUUUAGUAAUUUUUUUAACUUGAUAUAAUUAUUGGGUAUAUUUAAAAAAUAUAUAUAUAUUAUUUAAGGCCACAAAAAGGAGGUUAAACUAAUUUUGGUUUAAGGCAAUGAAAUAUCAAUUAAUUUUGGUUCGAUUUCGAACUAAACCAAGCUGCAAGAACCAAAAAUCGAAAAUACAUUUUACUUGAAAUCGAACCGAACCAAAAUGGUCAAUCCGGUUUGAUAGGUAUGAAUUCAGUUAAACGAUUUGGUUUUACACAUUAAAUAAACGUUUGGUAUAACCAAUCCAAAUACAGAAAAUUGAAAUUAUGAAAAAAUUUUAAACAUAAGCCUAGACCAAAAACUGAAUAAUUGAACUAAAAAUAAAAAAUAAUUUGGUUCGAUUCGAGUUUUGAUUUUUCCUAAAAUCUGCUCACCCCAGUCAAUUAGAUUCCUAACCCAUCACCAGAUGUCCAUUUUAAUUUCGUGCGUAGUGCUUGGCUUACGCUGGCAGCUGUACAAUUGACCAAAUACAAUUUAUCUUGAAACUUUUAAGGAUUAUUUUAUUUUAAUUUCAUGCAAUUGGUAAUUAGUUUUGCCGCAAUGAAAUGCUGCACGUGCUUAAAAAAAAAAAAGUAAAAAAGGUCUUUGACUUGAUAAACACAAAGCAUUUGAUGUCACAUCCCCAAGUCCGUGGAUAAUACAGUUACUAUUAAACCCACGAAAUGUUCCACAAAUAAAAUAUAAAUUGGAAAACCAAGUUAAUAUUUUAGUAGAUAUCCCUAAUAAUUUUUAUAUUUUUUAACUAUUUAACAAGUGUUGAAUUGAUUUAAUUUUAUCAAUUAAAAUAUUCGUUGCAUUAAGUUGAAAUAUUUAUUAAGUGUAAUUUGUUAAAUUAAAGUGCUUAAUAAAAUAAAAUUUAAAAGUGUUACAGGAGAUUUUAUAAAAAAUGCAUAUAUAAAUUUAUUAUUUCGCUCUAAAAAUAUAAAAAUAAAUUAGAUAUAUUAUUAUUGAAAAUAUUUUAUCGGAAUAUCAUUUUUAAUCUGAUCGUAAAAUUACGUUUGUGAAAUAAAAACCACAUUUAUAGCAAAUUAAGUUGAAUUAUACUGAUUUGACAAAAAUAUUUUUCAAUACAAUCAUAAAUAUUAUUAAUUUUAUAGUGUUCAUUUUUAUUUUAGAAAAAAAAAAAAAACAUUGAGGUUUCUCUAGUUGAUGAAAUAUCCAUCUACGGAUAGUUCCACCUCUAAAUAUGGCAUGGGUACCUAAAAAUUUAAGAUUUUUAUAAUUUCUCACCCUUUUUAUUUAUAUUUAAUUGAUUUAUGCAAAUCAAAUCACCAAAAUUCUUACAUGAUAUGAUCUUUUUGAAUUAAAAUGUGUCAUAACUUACAAAAUAAUAUAUAUAUAUAAACAACUUAUAAAAUAUAUAAGGCUUGUUUUGGCAAUACUAGCUCUUUUAGUAAGAAUUUAUUCGGCAAUAUUAGUUAUUUUAUAAGCUCUUUAAACUAGUAGUUGUUUAUAUAAUAAUUUAAAUUAAAAAUGCUCGAUAAAAAUAAUUGUUUUGUUUAAAAAAUUAGGAUUACAAUUAUUAAAAAAAUUAUCUGAAUACCACUUUCAUUCUGAAUAUAUAUAUAAAUAAACCACAAAAAUUAGUGUUUAUGGGAGAAUUAAUUACAAUUAUAGAUUUUUCAUUAUUUGUACAGAAAAACCUAACACAUCCAAAUCUUUCUUAAUCACUUUUGAUUUGCAAUAUCAUCAUCUUUUUCGUCUUCUUUUUCUAGUUUCACCUUCAUUGUCUUAUUGCUUCCUCGAUAGGUGCCACUCGAACUUUCUUUUACCUUAUUAGCUUAACUAUUUCUGCUUUAAUAAAAUUCAAAAUAAAAAAAAUUAAAUUCCAAAAAAUAUUAAAAAGUUCUAGAAGUAUAUAAUAAUUUUUUAAAAAUAUAUUCCAUUUCUUCAAACGAAUAAUAAACACUAUAAAAAGAAUAAAACCUAUUCGAGUUGGUGGGAUUUGAAUCCUAUAAAAGCAAACCACAUGCAUAAAUGUUGACACGAUAGCUCGCGGUAUAAACAUGAAAAGAAAAAAAAAUUCUGUAAAAAGAAUAAAAUAAUAAUAAUAAUAAUAAAUUAAAUUUAAAGCUAUGCUCAAAAGAGAGAUUAAUAAAUUUAGAAAAAUAUAUAUUUAUUGAAAAAAUAAAAAUAAAAAAGAAGAAUUAUCAAUAAGAAUAAAAUAAAAUAAAAGGCUAGUAGUAGAUAUCAUAUAAAUUUUUUCAAAUUAAUUGAAAAAUAGACUGAUAUAGUAUUAGGUCUAAUUUAAGUAGUCUUUAUACCCAUUUAGGCAAUAAAAAUAUAUAUGUUAAAUCAUUAAUAUCUUAUUGGUAUUUUUUUAAAUUCCAGUGGUAAAAAUCAAGUCUGAAAUUUCCUUAUUUACUCAUUAAAAAAUAAGAAAAAGUUCAAAUUUUCAUUCUAAAUUUCUUCAAUCAACGAAAGUCCUGAAAUGGAAUUCACUUUUUAAGUAAGGGAUUUUUUAAGAUUUUUCAUUUACUUUAUAUUAUUUAAUUUCAAAUAUUUAUAAAUUUUAGUAUUAAUUACAAAAGAUUUUCACAGACAUUGUAAUGUAGUUGGAAAUUUUGAUGUUUGAACGCUUUUGCCAAAUAGCGAUAUAAAUAUUUACUCCCUCUAUCUCAAAAAAUUUAUCAUGUUUACUCUUACACGAAGUUUAAGAAACAAAAUAAUUACAGUGUAACAUAUUCCUUUAUCUCAAAAUAUAAUUCGUUUAAGGUUUUUGUAUAAGAAUUAAGGAAGUAAUUAAUUCUUCUUGAUUAUAAUAAAAUUAAAAGUAAAUUGAUUAAAUAAUCGUUUAUAUUAAAACUAAUAGGUACUUGUGAAAGUUUUUGUUGUAUCUAAUGUAAACAACGGUAACAUUAGAAAAAUAUUAUUUAUUUACUCAUUGAAAUAUUCAAAAUGACUUAUAUUUUAAAAUAAAAUAAUUAUACAAAAACGACUUAUAUAUUGGGACAGAGGGAACAUAAAAUAUUUGUGCUUCCAAAAUUGUGAUUCUUUUAAACAAAAUGGUUAUUUCUAAAAAUUUGCACCAAAAUCAGUUAUAAAAAAAAAACAUAAAAGGAAAUAUCAAUAUCUCCUCGAUUAAUUGGACAAACAUUUUGAGACAUUUAAAAAUCAAAAUAUGGAUUAAAAUUUUUUGGUACGGAAUGAGCAUUAUAUUUUGUCAUUGUUGAUUAUAAAUUAAAUUAACAGAAAGGGAUGAUACGUUUAGAAAAAAAUUAUUUAUAAAAAUUGAAUUUUUAAGAAAACUGAUCAGAAGUCAUUAAAAAUUGUUUAAAGACUAAUAAUAUUUAACCUAUAAAAUAAUUUAGAUUUUCGUAUUUAUUUUUUUUUCUAAAAUUUUCAAUUGUUAAUAUAAGAAACAAAACCUUAAAAAUAAACAUUUUGAUGAAACAACAACUGUAACUCUUAUCUGUAAGAAGGGAAGCAAUAGAAAGAAAAUCUAGAGAAAAUCAGGUGCAAAUCAAUGAAAGUAAAUGCAUUCCCACUAACAAGGGAUAAGUUUUGGUGAAACGUCAGGUGUAUAUCAGAGGACACACACGCAACAACACGGAGCCCCUUCAAGCCCUCCCUCGCAGCACGUACACUUUCACUUUCACUUUCUUUGUCUUAAAUAAUCUCCUCUUCUCUCUCUCUCUCUCUCUCUCUCUCCAAACGGACAUAACUAUGGUUCAAUUGAAUUAACCUCAUCAAACCUCACCUCUUCUCUCCCUCUCUCCCUCUCUCUCCUUCCUCAUGCUUUCUUAUAUUUUUUUUGGCUAAUCUUGUUACUUUAAUCCCACCGCCCACUCCACACAGUCACCAAUAAUACUACUCUGUUCUGCAUCAUCCCUCAAGUUCCCAUUUCAAAAGAUAAUAUUUUGAUUAGUGGUUAUUUCUCUUAUUUUCCUCUUUCUUUGUCUUUCUCUCUUAAACUUGAAAUAUAAUUAAUUAAGGGGAAGGAAAGAAAAAGAAAAGAAAAUUAAAGGGUCUGUCGGUGUUGUUUGAUUGACCUUGAAUCUAUCUGGGAAAGAGGUAAAUUGUUGUUUGAUUUUUUUUUUUUUUUUAAAGUUCAGUUUGAACUCUUUUUGUUCUUGAAUUUUCUAUUUUUGUUAUAACUUUUUGCUAUUUUCUUCUUCUUUUUCUCUUUUUACGUUUACUGGAUCUCUCCGACUUGGAAUCUUUUGGGUCUGGAUUCUGGUUUCUCGUUUGGGUUUACUGUUAGAUGUGGGUUUUAGGAUUAGACCAAGAAUUUUUGUGUUCUUUUUUAGAUCCAAGCUACUUGACCUGUAUGUUAUUGCAUGAACAAUUUUUUUUCUAGGAAAGUUGAAAACUUUCCCGAGAGGUCCUUACCUUCUGUCAUAAACGGUGAGAUCUGGGUGUUUCACUUGAUUAUAUGUUGGAUGAUAAGAUUCAUUUGAUUUAUGAUCUAGUCUUGGGCUUUAAUAUCAAAAUUGGUUACUUUAAUCUGCUGCCAGUAAAUCUAUUUAUAUCUUUCAAUAGAAAAUAAUUCAAGAUUAAUUUUUUUUAUGAAUUGGGAAUAUAAAAUUUUCUGUUGUGGAAUUGAUGUUUCAUCAAAGUUUUUUAGUGGAAUUAAUUUGUCUCGAUCAAAAUUUGCUGAAAUGAUUGAUAUUUGAGAUUUUGUGCAUAAAUAUUCUGUAGCAAAUAAGAAAAUCUGAAAUGGAACUUCUAUUGAAUUGUUGAAUUAUGAUACACAGGAAAGCAUUUAGAUUUUUGCUGGGUUUUAGUAUGUAUUAACUUUUGCUGUUCUUAGCAGGCUUGAAAAUACCGACAGAGUAAGAUAGAUAGGGUUUAAAGCCAAACUAUGGUUCAAUUGAAUUAACCUCAUCAAACCUCACCUCUUCUCUCCCUCUCUCCCUCUCUCUCCUUCCUCAUGCUUUCUUAUAUUUUUUUUGGCUAAUCUUGUUACUUUAAUCCCACCGCCCACUCCACACAGUCACCAAUAAUACUACUCUGUUCUGCAUCAUCCCUCAAGUUCCCAUUUCAAAAGAUAAUAUUUUGAUUAGUGGUUAUUUCUCUUAUUUUCCUCUUUCUUUGUCUUUCUCUCUUAAACUUGAAAUAUAAUUAAUUAAGGGGAAGGAAAGAAAAAGAAAAGAAAAUUAAAGGGUCUGUCGGUGUUGUUUGAUUGACCUUGAAUCUAUCUGGGAAAGAGGUAAAUUGUUGGUUGAUUUUUUUUUUUUUUUAAAGUUCAGUUUGAACUCUUUUUGUUCUUGAAUUUUCUAUUUUUGUUAUAACUUUUUGCUAUUUUCUUCUUCUUUUUCUCUUUUUACGUUUACUGGAUCUCUCCGACUUGGAAUCUUUUGGGUCUGGAUUCUGGUUUCUCGUUUGGGUUUACUGUUAGAUGUGGGUUUUAGGAUUAGACCAAGAAUUUUUGUGUUCUUUUUUAGAUCCAAGCUACUUGACCUGUAUGUUAUUGCAUGAACAAUUUUUUUUCUAGGAAAGUUGAAAACUUUCCCGAGAGGUCCUUACCUUCUGUCAUAAACGGUGAGAUCUGGGUGUUUCACUUGAUUAUAUGUUGGAUGAUAAGAUUCAUUUGAUUUAUGAUCUAGUCUUGGGCUUUAAUAUCAAAAUUGGUUACUUUAAUCUGCUGCCAGUAAAUCUAUUUAUAUCUUUCAAUAGAAAAUAAUUCAAGAUUAAUUUUUUUUAUGAAUUGGGAAUAUAAAAUUUUCUGUUGUGGAAUUGAUGUUUCAUCAAAGUUUUUUAGUGGAAUUAAUUUGUCUCGAUCAAAAUUUGCUGAAAUGAUUGAUAUUUGAGAUUUUGUGCAUAAAUAUUCUGUAGCAAAUAAGAAAAUCUGAAAUGGAACUUCUAUUGAAUUGUUGAAUUAUGAUACACAGGAAAGCAUUUAGAUUUUUGCUGGGUUUUAGUAUGUAUUAACUUUUGCUGUUCUUAGCAGGCUUGAAAAUACCGACAGAGUAAGAUAGAUAGGGUUUAAAGCCAUUAGAGAUCCCUACAAAUUCAAGAUGAUGAUGUUCGAUGAGAUGGGAUUUUGUAGUGAUAUGGAUUUCUUCUCUGCGCCUUUUGGAGAAGAUGUGGCUGCUCCGCAAGCUGAGCCGGAGCCUACUGUGGAGGAUGAUUAUAGUGAUGAGGAGACUGAUGUUGAUGAGCUUGAGCGCAGGAUGUGGAGGGACAAGAUGCGUCUUAAAAGGCUGAAAGAGCAGAACAAGAGUAAAGAAGGUAUUGAUAUUGCUAAGCAGAGGCAGUCACAGGAACAAGCUAGGAGGAAGAAGAUGUCAAGGGCUCAAGAUGGGAUCUUAAAAUAUAUGUUGAAGAUGAUGGAAGUUUGUAAAGCUCAAGGCUUUGUUUAUGGGAUUAUUCCUGAGAAAGGAAAGCCAGUGACUGGGGCAUCAGAUAAUCUUCGAGAGUGGUGGAAGGAUAAAGUAAGGUUUGAUCGAAAUGGUCCGGCUGCCAUUGCCAAGUAUCAAGCGGAUAAUUCGAUCCCAGGCAAGAAUGAGGGUUGUAAUUCAAUUGGUCCAACUCCACAUACCUUGCAGGAGCUUCAAGAUACUACUUUGGGUUCGCUUUUGUCAGCUUUGAUGCAGCACUGUGAUCCUCCUCAGAGGCGGUUUCCAUUGGAGAAAGGUGUUCCUCCACCAUGGUGGCCCAAUGGAAAUGAAGAGUGGUGGCCUCAAUUAGGCUUACCUAAGGACCAGGGUCCUCCACCUUAUAAGAAGCCUCAUGACUUGAAAAAGGCAUGGAAGGUUGGGGUUCUUACUGCAGUGAUCAAACAUAUGUCUCCAGACAUUGCCAAAAUUCGCAAGCUUGUGAGACAGUCAAAGUGUUUACAGGACAAAAUGACAGCUAAGGAGAGUGCAACUUGGCUUGCAAUUAUUAACCAAGAGGAGGCAUUGGCCCGAGAGCUUUACCCUGAUUCAUGCCCACCCUUGUCAUCGACUGGAGGGAGUGGUUCAUUAGUGAUUCAUGAUUGCAGUGAAUAUGAUGUUGAAGGGGUUGAAAAUGAGCCGAACUUUGAUGUGCAAGAGUGCAAACCUGAGAAUCUGAAUUCCAAUUUGGGAAUGGAGAGAAUGAGGGAAAGGCUUCCACUUCGACAACCUUCUUAUCCGAUUAAGGGAGAGAUUGUCACUAAUGUUGAUUUUAUUAGGAAGAGAAAACCUCCCAGUGAUAUAGACAUGAUGGUGG
Molecule: long non-coding RNA, 11391 nt
Filed under: Jatropha curcas
Lineage: Eukaryota; Viridiplantae; Streptophyta; Magnoliopsida; Malpighiales; Euphorbiaceae
Description: long non-coding RNA (JCUR_LNC000685)
Source: RNAcentral